GCUAAACAGCUAGCUCAAACACCAAAACAAACAUAUCAACAUCAAAUAGUUUUUCUCGAACCAACAUAAGUAAAUUAAAACAUUCUCCUGCCUUAGUACGGGCGACAGAAAAGGCAUUUAGAAGCAAUAGAAAGAGUACCGCAAGGGAAAGCUGAAAGAGAAAUGAAACAACCCACUUAAGCCCAAAGAAGCAGAGAUUAAAUCUCGUACCUUUUGCAUCAUGAUUUAGCCAGAAUAUUUGAGCAAAGAGAACUUUAGUUCAAAACCCCGAAACCAAGUGAGCUACCCCGAGACAGCCUAUUACAGGGCCAACCCGUCUCUGUGGCAAAAGAGUGGGAAGAUCUCCGGGUAGAGGUGACAGACCUACCGAACUUGGUGAUAGCUGGUUGCCUAGGAAAUGGAUAGAAGUUCAGCCUUAUAUUCCUCGACUCACACAUCAUAUAUUUUAUGAGAACGAGAAAUAUAUAAGAGUUAGUCAAAAGAGGUACAGCUCUUUUGAACCAGGAUACAACCUUAUCAGGAGGUUAAGGAUCAUAUUUAACAAGAUUACUGCUUCAGUGGGCCUAAAAGCAGCCAUCUGAAUAGAAAGCGUUAUAGCUCAGGCAGACAAAAAUCUAUUAUUCGGAUAAAUUAUCCAAAACCCCUCCCCAUACUAGGCCGUUCCAUGCCAACAUGGAAGCGACACUGCUAAAAUGAGUAAUAAGAAGAUAUGCUCUUCUCCCAGCCCAUGUGUAAGUUAGAUCGGACUAACCACUAACAAUUAACGAACCCAAUACAAGAGGGCAAUGUGAUGUAAGACAAAACCAAGAAAAUUUCACAUUCUAUUAUCGUUAACCCCACACCGGAGUGCUAUUAAGGAAAGACUAAAAGAAAAGGAAGGAACUCGGCAAACACAAGCCUCGCCUGUUUACCAAAAACAUCGCCUCCUGCAAAAAUCAACGUAUAGGAGGUCCUGCCUGCCCAGUGACUAUUAGUUAAACGGCCGCGGUAUUUUGACCGUGCUAAGGUAGCGUAAUCACUUGUCUUUUAAAUGGAGACCUGUAUGAAUGGCGGAACGAGGGCUUAACUGUCUCCCCUUUCUAGUCAAUGAAAUUGAUCUGCCCGUGCAGAAGCGGACAUAAAAAUACAAGACGAGAAGACCCUUUGGAGCUUAAGACAUCAGGCCAACUAUGUCAAAAAUUCAAAUAAAAUGAAAAAGAACAAAACAGCAACUGGCCAACGUCUUCGGUUGGGGCGACCGCGGGGGAUAGAAAAGCCCCCAUGUGGAAUGGGCAAAACCCUAAAACCAAGAGAGACAUCUCUAAGGCGCAGAACAUCUGACCAAAAGAUCCGGUAUCAACCGAUCAACGAACCUAGUUACCCUAGGGAUAACAGCGCAAUCCCUUCUAAGAGUUCAUAUCGACGAAGGGGUUUACGACCUCGAUGUUGGAUCAGGACAUCCUAAUGGCGCAGCCGCUAUUAAGGGUUCGUUUGUUCAACGAUUAAUAGUCCUACGUGAUCUGAGUUCAGACCGGAGUAAUCCAGGUCAGUUUCUAUCUGUAAAGCUACUUUUCCUAGUACGAAAGGACCGGAAAAAGGGGGCCCAUGUUACAAACACGCCUCACUCCAACUUAAUGAAACCAACUAAAUUAAACAAAGGAAGAGCACCCCAUAAACCCCAGAUUAGGGACU
RNAcentral lists this ribosomal RNA (1671 nucleotides) under Apareiodon affinis (darter characine). RNAcentral's name for it is "16S rRNA". It matches the Rfam family "Bacterial large subunit ribosomal RNA". The record is from RNAcentral. Lineage: Eukaryota; Metazoa; Chordata; Actinopteri; Characiformes; Parodontidae.